Brassica oleracea var. oleracea is the source of this 740-nucleotide long non-coding RNA. RefSeq lists it as uncharacterized. Lineage: Eukaryota; Viridiplantae; Streptophyta; Magnoliopsida; Brassicales; Brassicaceae. The record is from RefSeq and is a predicted model, not a curated record. The transcript has 2 exons.
AAACAACAACCCGCAUCCAAUGUUACUGAUGAAGAAAAGCAGGCCAACAUCCCCGUCAUAGCAUACAGAGUGUACCGUCAAGGAAUUGCUCGCCGCUUACACUAAUCCACAUGGUUUUAUCAGCAUUUUGCAACCAAGCUCUCUACUAACAGGAAGAGACACCUAAGGGUUAUGAUGAAGAUAAGCACUAGAAUUACCAUGAGUUCAGCAAAACAUUGGAAUAUCACUUUCAGAGACAUAAUUGUUGAAUCUGACAAGUUCUUCCAUGGGAGGUAUAUCGAUAAGGAAAGAUAUGUGAAGAUAGCCAACAAGACAAUCCUCGACGUCAGCAGUGAUGUUGAUCCAAGCGGAGUGUACACUCAAGAUAUAUCAUAUAUCUCGAGGCUGGAAACUACCACUGCACAUGUUUAACCUGCUUUAGGCUGAAACACUUUUAAGGAGACACUGGUUCUAGCAGAGGAGUGUACACUCAAGAAGGCACUCAAGAUAAAUCAAAUCUCUGAUAAGAACUAGAAUCACUGCUUCUCGAAUGCAUAAUCCACGAAGGGGAUCAGUUCUCCUUCACCGGUGGUUUAAUCGGCUCUUUCAACUCACUUGCCAGCUUAACUCUCCUAUUUCUUGAGCAAUCCUCUUGAGCAAUGAAAAAAAGUUUUAAAGCUUCUGAUCCAACCAUUUUUUCUGGUCAAACUGAUCCUACCAUUUAUGUUUUCAUAUUAUUGAAACAAUAAAUUCUUCAUUCA